Molecule: small nuclear RNA, 108 nt
Filed under: Felis catus (domestic cat)
Lineage: Eukaryota; Metazoa; Chordata; Mammalia; Carnivora; Felidae
Source: RNAcentral
GUGCUCCCUUUGGUAGCACAUAUACUAAAAUUGGAACAAUGCAGAGAAAAUUAGUACAUCCCCUAUGCAAGGAUGACAUACAAAUAAAGAUAAUGAUUUAUGGUCUUU